Molecule: long non-coding RNA, 1978 nt
Organism: Equus caballus (horse)
Lineage: Eukaryota; Metazoa; Chordata; Mammalia; Perissodactyla; Equidae
Source: Ensembl
CAGCGAAAGGACUUGAGAGCCGCUGUCCUGCACACUCCAUGGUUGACACAAAGGAUUUUUCUUUUCUUAAGAAAGUGAGACAAGUGGUGACAGAGAUGGAGAUGAAGAGGUAGGAGCUGAAAGGCAAUAGUUAUUGGCAUCAGAGAAGAGAAUAGACAAACCUCAGGACAGUCAUUAAUGAAAGUGUAUCAUGUGUUAUUGAUAACUUUUGAGGGGGAGGAGUGCAUGCCCUUUUCAGAUACCUUCUGCUGGAACUCAAGAAACUACCAAGUCUCAGAACGCCUCCUGUCAGUCUUUAGAUGUGUGAUGAGAAGGAGUGCAUGCUUUGAUCCGAAGAAGCAGGAUCUGUAUUUACUUGGGAGAAACUCACACAUCGGUGGUAUUGGGUAGACCUGGUCCCUGAAAUGCUUCCUGAGUGCCUACUCUGUAGCAGAUCUUGAGCUGGAUGGCUGAGAAAUAGAAAGAUGAAUUUGCCUCUCUCUCUUCAAAGGGCUAUGAGACAUGUAGUUAAAUAUUUAUAGUAUAAGGCAAAAUACAAUACAUAUCAUUAAAAAGUACAGAAUGUUAUAGGAUUAAGAAGAAGGAGAGAGGCUUGUACUGGGGAAUAUUCAAGAAACAGUAUUUUCGCCUUGAAAGAGGCUUUGGGCAGACCCAGAUGAGGGGCAAGGCAGGGCAGACCCAGAUGAGGGGCAAGGCAAGCCAGACAGAGGGAACAGCCUAGGGUGUGUGGGGCAGCAGGUUCUGUUCCCAUCAGUGAGAUGCAGGGAACAGCGGGCAGUGAGCCUGGAAAGGCAAGCUGGGGUCAGGCCAUGCCAGACCUAGACUGUCUUAGUCCAGCAUUCAAGAUGCCCCUUGGCAGACAGUUGAUCGUUUUCGCACCCUCCACCUCCCACAUGCCCUCUGGCUUCGUUAUCUACGUCCACAUGGGGCACUUUGUCCAGCUGCCCACCAAAUGGGAAACCUCUUGACAUGUCAGUAAGAGCAGAAAGCUGCUGUAAAGUGGCAUUUACCUUUUGCCAAGUAGCUCCUGGGAACCAAAAGUUAUCUGCAAGACCUCAAGAGAGACAGAGAAGGAAGAGUUAUAGUCCAAGAGGCCUAACCUUUAAAAGAAUGUAGCAGAGGCACCUCACGGUCCUGCACUCUAGGUGACCCUGAAGGACAGCCAUUGUCAGUUAAAGGCCAGAGCAAGAGGACAGGGAUAAGAAAAGCAUAAAUACCUGAACAUGAAUACCUCUUGGACACUGGCUGUGGCCAGAGUACAGCUCUCAGGGGACCGUGUUCCUCCGUGAAUCAGGUCAGCCGGCUGCACACCAGAGGCGGUUACCCCUCGGGGUAGUCUCUGAAAUCAUUUUCCACAUCCUUGGCUCCUGUGUUCCUGAGUGAUUGCCUGAGGAAGUGCCUACGGGAGCUCAGUCCAUGGGUUGCCCCCUCCCCUCUUGUUGACACCUCCCCUUUCACAAGCACCCUUCUCCCACUGAACAAAACACAGACACCUCUUACCAUCCUGCAUCUUGCUAAAUACACUGUCCCAGUAUGUGAGAAAAUGCACCCAACAACAGCACAAUAAGAAAAUUCAGAUCUAAGCAGGGAAGAGUCCCAGGAGAGCAAAGCACAGGGAGCUUUCUCGAAGGACAUCCUAAGGGGGGAGUGCCAUGCCCCUGUGCCUGCUCUAGCCACUCACCUGCUCAACAGCAGAGAGCAAGAGUGCAGUGGUUGCCACAAACACGCAAUUCCAUUGAGUAGAAAACAACCAGGUCAACUUUUUUUUCCGUCAGAAAGAAAUUCCAAUUUGGUUGAUUGGUUUGCUGAUGAGGGCUGGUUUUAUCCACAAGGUGGGGUGGAGGGACAUUUUUCAUAAACUGGAUGAGCUCCAUCUGCAACUGUUUAAAGCACAGAAAAUACGUGGAAAGUUUCAUCCUUUACAACUGUGAAAUUGAUGAUACAAACUUACAUGUCCUUAUGGUGGUGAUCAUUUCAC